AAAUUGAAGAGUUUGAUCAUGGCUCAGAUUGAACGCUGGCGGCAGGCCUAACACAUGCAAGUCGAGCGGUAGCACAGAGAGCUUGCUCUCGGGUGACGAGCGGCGGACGGGUGAGUAAUGUCUGGGAAACUGCCUGAUGGAGGGGGAUAACUACUGGAAACGGUAGCUAAUACCGCAUAACGUCGCAAGACCAAAGUGGGGGACCUUCGGGCCUCAUGCCAUCAGAUGUGCCCAGAUGGGAUUAGCUAGUAGGUGGGGUAACGGCUCACCUAGGCGACGAUCCCUAGCUGGUCUGAGAGGAUGACCAGCCACACUGGAACUGAGACACGGUCCAGACUCCUACGGGAGGCAGCAGUGGGGAAUAUUGCACAAUGGGCGCAAGCCUGAUGCAGCCAUGCCGCGUGUGUGAAGAAGGCCUUCGGGUUGUAAAGCACUUUCAGCGGGGAGGAAGGCGUUAAGGUUAAUAACCUUGGCGAUUGACGUUACCCGCAGAAGAAGCACCGGCUAACUCCGUGCCAGCAGCCGCGGUAAUACGGAGGGUGCAAGCGUUAAUCGGAAUUACUGGGCGUAAAGCGCACGCAGGCGGUCUGUCAAGUCGGAUGUGAAAUCCCCGGGCUCAACCUGGGAACUGCAUUCGAAACUGGCAGGCUAGAGUCUUGUAGAGGGGGGUAGAAUUCCAGGUGUAGCGGUGAAAUGCGUAGAGAUCUGGAGGAAUACCGGUGGCGAAGGCGGCCCCCUGGACAAAGACUGACGCUCAGGUGCGAAAGCGUGGGGAGCAAACAGGAUUAGAUACCCUGGUAGUCCACGCCGUAAACGAUGUCGAUUUGGAGGUUGUGCCCUUGAGGCGUGGCUUCCGGAGCUAACGCGUUAAAUCGACCGCCUGGGGAGUACGGCCGCAAGGUUAAAACUCAAAUGAAUUGACGGGGGCCCGCACAAGCGGUGGAGCAUGUGGUUUAAUUCGAUGCAACGCGAAGAACCUUACCUGGUCUUGACAUCCACAGAACUUUCCAGAGAUGGAUUGGUGCCUUCGGGAACUGUGAGACAGGUGCUGCAUGGCUGUCGUCAGCUCGUGUUGUGAAAUGUUGGGUUAAGUCCCGCAACGAGCGCAACCCUUAUCCUUUGUUGCCAGCGGUCCGGCCGGGAAC
Molecule: ribosomal RNA, 1145 nt
Filed under: Klebsiella pneumoniae
Lineage: Bacteria; Pseudomonadati; Pseudomonadota; Gammaproteobacteria; Enterobacterales; Enterobacteriaceae
Description: bacterial SSU rRNA
Rfam family: Bacterial small subunit ribosomal RNA
Source: RNAcentral